RNAcentral lists this ribosomal RNA (258 nucleotides) under Pyrenula nitidula. RNAcentral's name for it is "partial small subunit ribosomal RNA". Lineage: Eukaryota; Fungi; Ascomycota; Eurotiomycetes; Pyrenulales; Pyrenulaceae. The record is from RNAcentral.
AAGUCGUAACAAGGUUUCCUUUCGUUAAAGAACUGCCGAAGCCUAACGCAGCGACUAUAAAGAAAUGUGGAGUCCCUCUGAGGGGAUGAUGCCGCCGAAAUGCUGGAAUAAAGGGAUUUGUUCUUUUACCAGCAGCCACGCUCCGUGGCCCACAGAUCAAUGAGCGGUGGUUCCUUCACAGGAACGACGAUAUGACCGGUCUUUGCUUAUAUAGCUAAGAGUAGACGUUCCGUAGGUGAACCUGCGGAAGGAUCAUUA